This 484-nucleotide ribosomal RNA is filed under the name uncultured bacterium. RNAcentral's name for it is "partial 16S ribosomal RNA". It matches the Rfam family "Bacterial small subunit ribosomal RNA", at positions 30 to 507 of the family's 1533-position model. The record is from RNAcentral.
AUUGAACGCUGGCGGCAGGCCUAACACAUGCAAGUCGAGCGGAUGAAGGGAGCUUGCUCCUGGAUUCAGCGGCGGACGGGUGAGUAAUGCCUAGGAAUCUGCCUGGUAGUGGGGGAUAACGUCCGGAAACGGGCGCUAAUACCGCAUACGUCCUGAGGGAGAAAGUGGGGGAUCUUCGGACCUCACGCUAUCAGAUGAGCCUAGGUCGGAUUAGCUAGUUGGUGGGGUAAAGGCCUACCAAGGCGACGAUCCGUAACUGGUCUGAGAGGAUGAUCAGUCACACUGAAACUGAGACACGGUCCAGACUCCUACGGGAGGCAGCAGUGGGGAAUAUUGGACAAUGGGCGAAAGCCUGAUCCAGCCAUGCCGCGUGUGUGAAGAAGGUCUUCGGAUUGUAAAGCACUUUAAGUUGGGGGGAAGGGCAGUAAGUUAAUACCUUGCUGUUUUGACGUUACCAACAGAAUAAGCACCGGCUAACUUCGUG